CGGGGGAGCACCACAACAGGGUGGAGCCUGCGGUUUAAUCGGACUCAACGCCGGGAAACUCACCAGAUAAGACAGCUGAAUGAUAGUCGGGCUGAAGACUCUACUUGACUAGCUGAGAGGAGGUGCAUGGCCGUCGUCAGUUCGUACUGUGAAGCAUCCUGUUAAGUCAGGCAACGAGCGAGACCCACGCCAACAGUUGCCAGCUCGUCCUCCGGGAUGGUGGGGACACUGUUGGGACCGCCUCUGCUAAAGAGGAGGAAGGAAUGGGCAACGGUAGGUCAGCAUGCCCCGAAUUAUCUGGGCUACACGCGGGCUACAAUGGGUGGGACAAUGGGUAUCGACACCGAAAGGUGAAGGCAAUCUCCUAAACCCAUCCGUAGUUCGGAUUGUGGGCUGCAACUCGCCCACAUGAAGCUGGAAUCUGUAGUAAUCGUGUCUCAAAAUGGCACGGUGAAUAUGUCCCUGCUCCUU
This 471-nucleotide ribosomal RNA is filed under the name uncultured Methanomicrobiales archaeon. RNAcentral describes it as "bacterial SSU rRNA". It matches the Rfam family "Archaeal small subunit ribosomal RNA", at positions 869 to 1338 of the family's 1478-position model. The record is from RNAcentral. Lineage: Archaea; Methanobacteriati; Methanobacteriota; Methanomicrobia; Methanomicrobiales.